Molecule: ribosomal RNA, 520 nt
Filed under: uncultured bacterium
Lineage: Bacteria
Description: bacterial SSU rRNA
Rfam family: Bacterial small subunit ribosomal RNA
Source: RNAcentral
AGGACGAACGCUGGCGGCGUGCCUAAUACAUGCAAGUCGAACGGUCUUUUCUAUGGAAGCUUGCUUCCACUGAGAAGAUAGUGGCGAACGGGUGAGUAACACGUGGGUAACCUGCCCAUAAGAGGGGGAUAACAUCCGGAAACGGGUGCUAAUACCGCAUAGUUUUCUUGAUCGCAUGAUUGAGAAAGGAAAGACGGCCUUUGUGCUGUCGCUUAUGGAUGGACCCGCGGCGUAUUAGUUAGUUGGUGAGGUAGCGGCUCACCAAGACGAUGAUACGUAGCCGACCUGAGAGGGUGAUCGGCCACAUUGGGACUGAGACACGGCCCAAACUCCUACGGGAGGCAGCAGUAGGGAAUCUUCCGCAAUGGACGAAAGUCUGACGGAGCAACGCCGCGUGAGUGAAAGAAGGUUUUCGGAUCGUAAAACUCUGUUGUCAGAGAAGAACAAGUUGGAGAGUAACUGCUCCAGCCUUGACGGUAUCUGACCAGAAAGCCACGGCUAACUACGUGCCAGCCGCCGC